CAGAAAGUGAUGAAGGCUGUGUGGACUGAGGUAGUCUUGGAGGCUUUAGAUGAGCUGACCUUAGAACAGCCAGUCAUCUGGUGGUGAGGACCUCCACCUGGACUUUGGGGAAAUGGCAUAUCACAGAUUUCAAGUUGUCUCCUACAUCCCAGGCCAGGCCCUCCAGAAAAGGUGUCUGGUUUUGACUGGCAAUUCUAUCCAAGGCCCAGGAAGCUGUCUUGUUGGAACUGAUGUGUUCCCACAACACUUGUGAGUUUCAGCAGAUUGCCUUUUGUGCUCAAGAUCAAUGUUCCCUAAUUUGUCAUGAAGCAGAUAUGACUUUUUCACAUUUGGCAUGUAUAAAAGCAAGAAGGAUCUUCACAUUGCUGAAACAUCAAUAAGAUGUGCCUCCUUAUUUUAUUAAAUAUUGCAAUUAUGUUUUAAA
Molecule: long non-coding RNA, 424 nt
Organism: Alligator mississippiensis (American alligator)
Lineage: Eukaryota; Metazoa; Chordata; Crocodylia; Alligatoridae
Exons: 2
Source: RefSeq, a predicted model, not a curated record